UACGGAGGAUGCAAGCGUUAUCCGGAAUGAUUGGGCGUAAAGCGUCCGCAGGUGGCUGUGUAAGUCUGCUGUCAAAGAGCGAAGCUCAACUUCGUAAAGGCAGUGGAAACUACACGGCUAGAGUGCGUUCGGGGCAGAGGGAAUUCCUGGUGUAGCGGUGAAAUGCGUAGAGAUCCGGAGGAAGACCGGUGGCGAAGGCGGCCUGCUGGGCAGUUACUGACACUGAGGCGCGACAGCGUGGGGAGCAAACAGG
RNAcentral lists this ribosomal RNA (253 nucleotides) under uncultured bacterium. RNAcentral describes it as "partial 16S ribosomal RNA". It matches the Rfam family "Bacterial small subunit ribosomal RNA", at positions 524 to 776 of the family's 1533-position model. The record is from RNAcentral.